AAACGCGAUUCGAUACGCGUAAAUGUGCAUUUAUACGUUUCAAUACGCGUAAUCACGUUUAAUGCGCGUCGCGUUUGAUACGCGUAAUCACACACUUAUCAAUCCGCAUAAGUAUGUAGGUAAUCACGUAUAACCGUUUCAGUAUAAGUGUGGCUAUACAAUAGUGCAUUAUUAUAAUAAACAUACUAUGACAUAUAUUAUAUCAAUGAGUGUGUAUCAUGAUGUAGGGAAAUAAAAUUAUGUUGUAUAAAAGAAACGCGAUUCGAUACGCGAAAAUGUGCAUUUAUACGUUUCAAUACGCGUAAUCACGUUUAAUUCGCGUCGCUAUUGAUACGCGUAAUCACACACUUUUCAAGUAUGGUAAUGUAAUCACGUAUAACCGUUUCAGUAUAAGUGUGGCUAUACAAUAGUGCAUUAUUAUAAUAAACAUACUAUGACAUAUAUUAUAUCAAUGAGUGUGUAUCAUGAUGUAGGGAAAUAAAAUUAUGUUGUAUAAAAGAAACGCGAUUCGAUACGCGAAAAUGUGCAUUUAUACGUUUCAAUACGCGUAAUCACGUUUAAUUCGCGUCGCUAUUGAUACGCGUAAUCACACACUUUUCAAGUAUGUAGGUAAUCACGUAUAACCGUUUCAGUAUAAGUGUGGCUAUACAAUAGUGCAUUAUUAUAAUAAACAUAUUAUGACAUAUUAUAUCAAUGAGUGUGUAUCAUGAUGUAGGAAAAUAAAAUUAUGUUGUAUAAAAGAAACGCGAUUCGAUACGCGAAAAUGUGCAU
Non-coding RNA from Plutella xylostella (diamondback moth), 771 nucleotides. The record is from RefSeq and is a predicted model, not a curated record. NCBI's taxonomy places the organism in Eukaryota, Metazoa, Arthropoda, Insecta, Lepidoptera, Plutellidae.